GACGAACGCUGGCGGCGUGCUUAACACAUGCAAGUCGAGCGGUAAGGCCCUUUCGGGGUACGACGAGCGGCGAACGGGUGGAGUAACACGUGGGUGACCUCGCCCUCCAGCUCUGGGAGUAAGCCUCGGGAAACCGGGGUACGUAAUACUGGAUAUGACUCCAUGACGCAUGUUGUGGGGUGGAAAGCCUUGUGCGGCUGAGGAUGGGCCCGCGGCCUAUCAGCUUGUUGGUGGGGUGAUGGCCUACCAAGGCGACGACGGGUAGCCGGCCUGAGAGGG
Molecule: ribosomal RNA, 279 nt
Filed under: uncultured bacterium
Lineage: Bacteria
Description: partial 16S ribosomal RNA
Rfam family: Bacterial small subunit ribosomal RNA
Source: RNAcentral